This 30-nucleotide non-coding RNA is filed under the name Mus musculus (house mouse). The record is from RNAcentral. Lineage: Eukaryota; Metazoa; Chordata; Mammalia; Rodentia; Muridae.
GGAACCACAUCAGUAGGACCUAGAUUCUGC